Long non-coding RNA from Centruroides sculpturatus (bark scorpion), 775 nucleotides. RefSeq lists it as uncharacterized. NCBI's taxonomy places the organism in Eukaryota, Metazoa, Arthropoda, Arachnida, Scorpiones, Buthidae. The transcript is spliced from 2 exons. The record is from RefSeq and is a predicted model, not a curated record.
CUCGAAGCGUAUACAGUAUUUAAUUUUUCCAUUGUCUCUCAUUCGAUUCAUUUUACUUUUGAAUAAUUCCAUUUGUGUAAUUUUAUUUACUUUUAUUUUAUUAAAUCUUUUAUUAUUUGUUUAAAGAUAUGUCUCAUCUUUGUCUGAAUCACAUCAAUAUUAUCUCACACGCGUGUUAAUCCGCGUAUCUAAGUUUGAUUAACUGGUGUCAAAGAAUCCUGACGUAGAUCGGGACUUCACAGUUCGGAUCGGUUUAAAUAUUAAUAGCCCUCCUAGAAAAAGAUUAGAGAUCGGAUCUCUCGAUCCGAAACUCCGAGAACUAGUUUUACCAACUAGCCGCCGAGUAAGCGAUACAAGAGUAUUAACUAUUCCGUACCCCCGGCUAAUCUCACAUGUGCAUAGACUAUAUUUAAACAUUUUAAUGUCGAAAUUCAAACUGUAAACAAGAUUUAUUUUUAUCAUUAUCAAUUACGAAAGAAAGCAACUUAUCGUUAAAUUUUGCAUAAUUAUAUAACAUGUAAUCAGAUUGAUAAUAUAUAUUGUGACAAAAAAAUAACAGGAUAUAGAUAACCCCGAGGUGAUGAUUAUCUUCUAGAGUAAUAAAUAUAUUUAUUACUUUUGUAUCUAUUUUUCUUUAUAUAAUUCUGCAUAUAAAUAUAAGAGCGUGUAGAGCUGAGGAAAUUGAGAAGCCAAGAACAUUCCUAUCGGGACGUAAAGCAGCUGAAAUAUUUUAAUCGUUCUUCCAGGAAAUAUGAACGGAACAGCUGAAGAUUAU